GCGAAAAUUAGGGAAGCAAAGGAAAUACCGUCUGCCGCAAAACUAGGGGUUUUUGAAUUACCCGUCCGCUGGUGAACGGGAAAAACGGAUUGGUUAGUAUUUUUAUGUAGUUGUCAAUCAACGGCUAAAUUCGGUUAAAUGUUAAUCAUUAACCAAAUGUUUUGACGUUUUGAAAUUAGUUGACGUCAAGUCAGACCAGAAAUGGAAUACCAUAAUAAAAGAAGCAAAUUUAAAGAUACAAGCUGAAAAAUAACACUAUAAGUAGUGUUUUUGAUAGCGAUUCGUACAAGAAUAUUUAACAAAGAAGAUACGUCCGAAGGGGCCGAAGUUAUGAUCGGCGAAAGGUAUGGGCUAGUCUAUAUUUUCGUUCAGACAAUUACAUGCGUAUUUAAUAAUUUCAGUGAUAAUAUACGAUCUCGCUUGACUUUCAAAGGACAUAAAUCACAAUAAUGUUGACAUUUUACUAAAACUAUCGAUAGAAAUUAGGAGAUAUUUCUUCACUGAAUCGAACGGUGGGAUUUUCAUAUAGCCAUAGGCCCGUCAUGUUCUGAACCAAAGAUACUUGAUAGAUAUACGAACCUCCAAAGUAUAAACUAGGGGCCGGUUGAUGCAGUAUUAAUUAUCAAAUAACAGUUAAACUCUUAUAUACCCGUUGAAUAUGUAUAGUUGUAAACAAAUAAACACUAUCGUUCUAUAAGGUCUAUAAGGUUCAAAACUUUCAGUUUGGUUGUUGACUGAUGAUGAAUCUAUAGCAUAGACUUGCAUGCUUUGUAUUUUGAGCUUAUUAAACCACCGUUUUAAGGCAGCUAAACGGGCUUGGUUUAUAUUAACACAUAAAAUAAAUUCCUUGAUUCUCAUCACUAGACACAGUCUACACUUUGAAAUGUCGAAGACAGUGGGAGAUUUAUUUUUUAUAUUUUAUAUUUAUAUAAUUUAUAUAUCAAUAGUUCGUAUCUCCACGAACAAUGACAGAAUGACUGAAUUUCCUUAAAAUACAAUGAAAUUUCAUUCAAAAUUCUGUUUGUUUCAAAUUGGAAGUUUAAAAUGGCAAUAAAAACCCUAUAUAAAAUAUAAAAAAAUUAACUGUCUCGAAUUAUUUUGCGGUCGGGCGGUACAUUUAUAUUGUAUAACAAAAUAUAAAACAUUUUCACGAGGAUUUUAAAAUUCAGUCGGGCGGUGAUGAGAAUCAAGGAAUUUAUUUUAUGUUGGGCAGUUGGGACUUGGGAGCAACUUGGGAGUGGCUAAUUUUGAAUAUUUACUUAAUGACAUCUAUAAAUAGCUUUGAUGCUUCAGGGGCGGUAGUUCAUUUACACCUAGUUUUGCGGCAGGCGGUAUUUCCUACGUACCGCCUGCCAUGCAGGCUA
Molecule: non-coding RNA, 1364 nt
Organism: Paramuricea clavata
Lineage: Eukaryota; Metazoa; Cnidaria; Anthozoa; Malacalcyonacea; Plexauridae
Source: the annotation of a GenBank genome assembly